Molecule: non-coding RNA, 104 nt
Organism: Acanthosepion pharaonis
Lineage: Eukaryota; Metazoa; Mollusca; Cephalopoda; Sepiida; Sepiidae
Source: the annotation of a GenBank genome assembly
AUCAACUUAAAACACCGGUUCUCGUACGAUCAUCGAAGUUAAGCAACGUCGAACAUGUUCAAUCCCUAGAUGAGUGACCGCUCGGGAAUAUUAGGUGCUGUUAG